RNAcentral lists this ribosomal RNA (440 nucleotides) under uncultured bacterium. RNAcentral describes it as "partial 16S ribosomal RNA". It matches the Rfam family "Bacterial small subunit ribosomal RNA", at positions 338 to 795 of the family's 1533-position model. The record is from RNAcentral.
CCUACGGGAGGCAGCAGUGGGGGAUAUUGCACAAUGGGGGAAACCCUGAUGCAGCGACGCCGCGUGGGUGAAGAAGCGCCUCGGCGCGUAAAGCCCUGUCAGCAGGGAAGAAAAUGACGGUACCUGAAGAAGAAGCCCCGGCUAACUACGUGCCAGCAGCCGCGGUAAUACGCAGGGGGCAAGCGUUAUCCGGAUUUACUGGGUGUAAAGGGGGCGCAGGCGGCGAUGCAAGCCAGGAGGGAAAGCCCGGGGCCCAACCCCGGGACUGCUGUUGAAACUGCGUGGCUAGAGUGCAGGAGGGGCAGGCGGAAUUCCUGGUGUAGCGGUGAAAUGCGUAGAUAUCAGGAGGAACACCGGUGGCGAAGGCGGCCUGCUGGACUGCAACUGACGUUGAGGCACGAAAGCGUGGGGAGCGAACAGGAUUAGAUACCCCAGUAGUC